GNGGCGCCACCAGGAGGGUGAGCCCUGCGGCUAAUUUACUCAACACGGGAAAUCUCACCAGGCCCGGACACCGGAAGGAUUGACAGAUUGAGAGCUCUUUCUUGAUUCGGUGGGUGGUGGUGCAUGGCCGUUCUUAGUUGGUGGAGCGAUUUGUCUGGUUAAUUCCGAUAACGAACGAGACUCUGGCCUACUAACUAGACGUUAGAUCCCUUUGUGGGUCUAUCGCAGCUUCUUAGAGGGACGGGCGGCGUUUAGCCGCACGAGAUUGAGCAAUAACAGGUCUGUGAUGCCCUUGGAUGUUCUGGGCUGCACGCGCGCUACACUGAAGGAAUCAGCGUGUGUUCCCUGUCCGAAAGGACUGGGAAACCCGUUGAACCUCCUUCGUGAUGGGGAUUGGGGAUUGCAAUUAUUCCCCAUGAACGAGGAAUCCCCAGUAGGCGCGAGUCAUAAGCUUGCGUCAAUUACGUCCCUGCCCUUUGUACACACCGCCCGUCGCUACUACCGAUCGAGUGAUUUAUU
This 519-nucleotide ribosomal RNA is filed under the name uncultured eukaryote. Its description in RNAcentral is "SSU rRNA". It matches the Rfam family "Eukaryotic small subunit ribosomal RNA", at positions 1161 to 1702 of the family's 1831-position model. The record is from RNAcentral.